Molecule: non-coding RNA, 973 nt
Organism: Acipenser ruthenus (sterlet)
Lineage: Eukaryota; Metazoa; Chordata; Actinopteri; Acipenseriformes; Acipenseridae
Source: the annotation of a RefSeq genome assembly
AUGAGCGUCCUAACUGGGGAUAAUCGCGGGUCCGUUACCGUCCCCUGUGUCUUCGAUUGGAAACUCGAAUCUACCUAUCGACUUCGCUGUUUCCGAGACAACGCAAGCGGAGGACUGAGCGAGCCGUUCCCUCGUGAAUGCGGAGAUCCGGGCUCCCAAUGCAGGAUCACCAGCACCGUAGAGAGCAAUAGAGUCACGCUAACAAUCCGGAACACGCAGAGAAACGAUAGCGGGCGAUAUUACUGCGCUGAAAAAGUUAUCAGCUCACUGAGAUUCUCUAACGAGUCAGUUGUGAUCGUGUCUGGAGAUGAUUCCUCUGUGAAUCGGUCAGUCUCUAUCCUGGCCCCACUGGCUGUCUCUGGCAGCGCGCUCGAUUCCCAGGCGACCCUGACAUUAGUGUGUCUAAUCCGGGGCCUCUCCUCGCCCUCGGUCCGGGUCCGGUGGUUCAUUUCCGGUAACUUCGCGGCGGAGGGAACGCCGAGCUCCGGGAUCAAAGUGAAGGAGGGCGGAGAGGGACAGGGAGACGGAGAGAGCUACGCCGCUACGAGCCGCCUGACAAUCCCGGUGGAGACGUGGAGAAGCGGGGCUGAGUGCGCAUGCGAAGCGCAGUUGAACUGGAACACUUCUAUCCGCAGCGGGAAUGUUUCAUACGCUGGGAUUCACGUGGCGGGUCUGGUUGCAGAGCGGUGCCUGGUUCAGUACGCCGUGUUCUCCGGGGUCUCCCUCCUCGCUCUCUCCGCGGCUCUCUGCGGCUGCGCGCUGUGGACCCGCCGCCGCUUCAAAACAGCGUCCACUGAAGACUCCACGCAUGUAAUUUACAAAAGGACCCCCGGCAGCGGAGAUACAAAGAGGAGAGAUGAAGAGGGCAGUCUGGUCACCUACGCGAGCUUGGACUUUGAAUCCCAGAAGAAGAACAGAAAGAAGAGACACAUAUAAUAAUAAUAAUAAUAAUAAUAAUAAUGAAUCCUUUGGA